GCGGGCGUGGCGGAAUGGUAGACGCAAAGGACUUAAAAUCCUUCGGAUGGAAACGUCCGUGCCGGUUCGAGUCCGGCCGCCCGCACCA
Molecule: transfer RNA, 88 nt
Filed under: Pseudolabrys sp.
Lineage: Bacteria; Pseudomonadati; Pseudomonadota; Alphaproteobacteria; Hyphomicrobiales; Xanthobacteraceae
Description: tRNA-Leu
Rfam family: tRNA
About the family: Transfer RNA (tRNA) molecules are approximately 80 nucleotides in length. Their secondary structure includes four short double-helical elements and three loops (D, anti-codon, and T loops).
Source: RNAcentral